Long non-coding RNA from Chrysemys picta bellii (western painted turtle), 465 nucleotides. RefSeq lists it as uncharacterized. NCBI's taxonomy places the organism in Eukaryota, Metazoa, Chordata, Testudines, Emydidae. The record is from RefSeq and is a predicted model, not a curated record.
UGCAGUACCUCCACAGCUCGCCCACAUUGCAGCAGAAACCUGGGCCAACAUAUACUGCCACAGACCAUUCCAAGAGGAAGUGUUUCUGUGAUGACCUAAUGGUUGAAGUUCUGGAGAGUGCCAGCAAACAGGCUCAGUACCAAAGACAGAGGGACUUACAGCUAGAGUAAAGGCAUGAGACACGCUGGACAGGUAACACCACAGACCACGGAUCACGACUGGAACACAGACCACCACUGGAAAAUGACAAUGACAAGGACCACUUGGAACUUCACACAGGGUCAGGAGGGACACCACACAGGAUCAAUGGAGGCAGUAACACGAUGAUAGCAGGGCAGAUGAACCACUAAAGUUGACUGAUGACUGUCCGUGAUAUAUUAAGAAUGGAACAACAGCAUUCCUUGGGGUGGGAGAACAGAUGUAUUUCAGCAGAAGUGGAAGUUGGUACCUAAGGGAUCCAUCUGA